UUCAGCUGGAGAACAUGCCAGAGGGUGUCUUCGCAAUUGCGAGCAUUUAGUGGAAUGUCUUCUCUACGUAGUUCGAGCUGCAAUAGAGAAAAACAAUAUUGGAAACAAAACUGUAGAAAAUUGCGUGUAUAUAUUUCGUAAUCUUUCGUAUAGAUGUCAGGAAGUGGAAGAGCCCAACUACGAUAAGCAUCCCUUCAUAACGCAAGAUAGGGCUAUCCCAUCUUCGUCAAAGGGAGAAAAUUUAGGAUGCUUUGGAACAAGUAAAAAAA
Long non-coding RNA from Drosophila miranda, 269 nucleotides. RefSeq lists it as uncharacterized. The record is from RefSeq and is a predicted model, not a curated record. NCBI's taxonomy places the organism in Eukaryota, Metazoa, Arthropoda, Insecta, Diptera, Drosophilidae. The transcript has 2 exons.